UACGAAGGGGGCUAGCGUUGCUCGGAAUUACUGGGCGUAAAGGGCGCGUAGGCGGCACUGUUAGUCAGGCGUGAAAUUCCUGGGCUCAACCUGGGGACUGCGCUUGAUACGGCAGAGCUAGAGGAUGGAAGAGGCUCGCGGAAUUCCCAGUGUAGAGGUGAGAUUCGUAGAUAUUGGGAAGAACACCGGUGGCGAAGGCGGCGAGCUGGUCCAUUACUGACGCUGAGGCGCGACAGCGUGGGGAGCAAACAGG
This 253-nucleotide ribosomal RNA is filed under the name uncultured bacterium. RNAcentral's name for it is "partial 16S ribosomal RNA". It matches the Rfam family "Bacterial small subunit ribosomal RNA", at positions 524 to 776 of the family's 1533-position model. The record is from RNAcentral.